Long non-coding RNA from Sarcophilus harrisii (Tasmanian devil), 364 nucleotides. RefSeq lists it as uncharacterized. Lineage: Eukaryota; Metazoa; Chordata; Mammalia; Dasyuromorphia; Dasyuridae. The record is from RefSeq and is a predicted model, not a curated record. The transcript is spliced from 2 exons.
AUCUUGCGGAAAGCAGGAACCCCUCUCGCCCUCUCCUAAUCGCUUUCUCGUCUCUAUGGUUGAUGUAGAACCGUCCUCCAUAGGACGUCUUGGAUUGGUCAACCCAAAGACAACUAUAGAGUCACAUGGUUAAUAUCUGAUCAGUUAUUGGCUGCUUUCGGUUAAGCCCACCCCUUUGCUCUCCCCUCCGGUUUUAACCCGCGGCCCGCGCGAGCGUUCAGUCCUUUCGACUCGGCGCUGCUCUCUGGAUCCCGUGUGUGUCCUGCCGUCGCGACGGAACCGUUCUGCGCACGCGCGCCUCCACAUCCUCCGUCAGUGCUCCCCCUUGUGUAAAAGCUCCCAAUAAAAAAUUCCCAAAGUCUCA